Molecule: long non-coding RNA, 1795 nt
Organism: Antechinus flavipes (yellow-footed antechinus)
Lineage: Eukaryota; Metazoa; Chordata; Mammalia; Dasyuromorphia; Dasyuridae
Exons: 2
Source: RefSeq, a predicted model, not a curated record
CUUGGCCUUUGUUGACAUCACUGAUACACAUCCACUGUCCAUCAACUGAUUCCUUCCACAGAGUAACCUGAAAGCAAAAGGCCUCAUCAUCACAAGCUGUGAAGUCCCAGUCUGGCCAUGUCACCCCUGAGGAAGAAGCUCCAGUGGCUCCAUCUUGUCUGUUGGACAUGAGAUGAACUCUCCUGUGGGGCAUUUAAAGCCCUCUGUAGUGUGGCUUCAACCUUUGGAUUAGGCCCGUACUUCCCCCCAACUCACCCCAUGGUUCAGUUGGGCUGAUCAUUUGCUAUUCUUCAUGUUUUUGGUUCAAGUCUCUUCCUCUUUCCUCCCUGGCACCUUUGUGAGCCCUACCUCUCUUCAAAGCUCGAUUUAAGUGUUACCACCUUCUGAAGAUCUUUCCUGCUUCCUCCAUUUGUUAAUGUGCUCUUCCUUGUAAAAGGACUUUUAAGAUUCUGCAUUUAUUCACCUGGAUAAAUCCUGUUCUCCUGCCCCUCACUCUCACAAGGACUGUCAGCUUUUUGUUCCUAUCCCUAGCUCAAAGCAAUGCACACACAGUAGCACUUGAUAAAAUACUUGUUGAAUUUAAUCAAGAACAUGGCACAAGGAAGGAAGCAGAACUAAGAAAACAAUGUUGCACAAUAAUGUCUUUCUGAAAUUCAGAGUGUAUGUUCUCCUACUCAAUAAUUCUGCACUUGGUAUCUGGUACACAGAGAUGCUUAAUACAUGUUCAUGUGACUCCACAAAAUGACCUGCAAGGGCUCUCCACAUACAAAAGAAAGUCCGUCUAUUUGGGUGAAAGGUGGCCUGGAACCAGGGAGAAAAGGGAGCCAGGGAGGCCCUCGUCCAGGCUCAUGGUGCCACAAGCCUGUCUUGGGAAGUGGAGGGGAGGGAAGGAGAGAGAGUGACUGGUACAGAACCAGGGAGAAGUGGCAAUCUCCAGGAGAGACCGAUCCAAGAGAGGGACAGUCUGCGGUACCAGUGACCUAAACAAAAAAGCAGAGGUAGGAGUCUGGAUCUUUGUGGUAGAGAGGGACAGUGUGAGCUCAGGAGAGAAGCCAGAGCUGCCCAGGAGUAGGACCACUUGUUGUGCAUGAGAACUGAUGGGACUGUCGGGCACCAACACGAGCCAGGCUGGGGCAUGAGGAGAGGGCGAGAAGGGGACGAGGCUGUGGGCUGCACCACGAGAAUGGAGGGAGAAGAGGAGGCUGAGGACAGAGUGUGGAGAUCUUGAGUUCGGGGCUGGGAAGAUAAGGAGCCAGUGUAAAAAAAGGACCAUGUGUGAGAGGCAGGAAAGUAGUCUUUAUAAAGCCCAGGGUAGAAACCAUUCAGAGGAGGGGGUGGUCAACAGUGUCGAGUGCUACAGAGGUCUAGGAGGACAAGGGCUUAAAGAUGGCAGAUCUUAAAAAUAACUUUGUUCCACUAAAAGUUAUUGAGAAGAUCAUUUGGUUUUUUAAAUGAAUGUUUCCAUGCUGGUUUCAGUAACAGACAUCUGAGGUUUGACCCAGCUGAAGACCUACUUCUGCAUAGCCUGCCCCAAUUUUUCUGAUCUGCAGCUACCACGCUACUCUGACCAGAGAAGUGGAUCAACAGCACUCAUGCUAGCACCAAGUCACAGUCUGUCUGGUAUUAAUCUUUAACUGCCUCAUGUACGUAUGGCGUGGCUUCUUGAGAAUGUGAGCUCAAUGAGCAGGAAGCACAUUAUAUGUUGUAUGUAUAAUAAUACUUCGGUGUUUCUCACCUUGGAUACAGAGAAUAUGCACAAUUAAGGCUUUAAUAAAGUUAAAAAUUUGCCUUCUCA